CACAGUCCCAUUCUUCCAUAAUUCUCAUUGCCAAAUAGCUUUUCAAUGAUAUCUGUACAGUUCUGUGAACUUUUCUGGAGAAAGAUGCUUUCAAAAAGAAGAACUACCAGAGCUCAGAGGCUAGGGCCCAUUGGCGACCAGCAAAACCAGCGAGACCAACAGGCCUGAAGGCUCAGAGGAGAUCGACACUAGAGACCUGAGUGAAAUCCAGGGGGGGUGGCUAUUGUGUCCAGAUUAUUAAAGCCCCUCAUGAGACUGAGUAUGUUAACAGGUGUGCAUGAUAUUUAGGACAUGGUAAUUUAUAUUGAUGAACCUGUAGGUUGUUUUUUAGGUAUUUGGAACAGCAUGGAAAAUAAGAAGCCAUAUAACAUCACAAAUACAAUCUAAGUCCUUUGCUCCUCUUUCUGACCCCAUUCCUUCCUCUCCCUUCCUCUUUAGAGGUACCCACUAUCUCGAUGUAGUGUUUAUUCUUCCUAGGAAUGUAUUUAUGUUUUAUCACAUAUGUGUGUACCCAGAAAUAAUAACACGGUAACAGUU
Molecule: long non-coding RNA, 537 nt
Organism: Galeopterus variegatus (Sunda flying lemur)
Lineage: Eukaryota; Metazoa; Chordata; Mammalia; Dermoptera; Cynocephalidae
Exons: 2
Source: RefSeq, a predicted model, not a curated record